Molecule: signal recognition particle RNA, 308 nt
Filed under: Halorutilus salinus
Lineage: Archaea; Methanobacteriati; Methanobacteriota; Halobacteria; Halorutilales; Halorutilaceae
Description: Archaeal signal recognition particle RNA
Rfam family: Archaeal signal recognition particle RNA
Source: Rfam by way of RNAcentral
AAGCGGACUAGCCCGGGUGGUUAGGCGUCACCUCCACCGCAAACCGUCUUCAGCGGGGGCGAGAAAGCCGGGAAGGCUCCUGACGGCGGGAGGGUCCGAGGAGCCGACGUAGAAGCCUCGUCCCACGAGGGCAGAGGUGACGUGUCGACACCCGGAGGGGUGUACGCCACGUCUUGACGGCGGGCACCGGGUCAGGCGCGGAAGCGAGCAUCCCACCCGUCGACAUCUGUCGCCCGUGGGGUCGCGGGGUGGAGGAGGCUCGUCGGGUAGCCCCCCUGUCCCGACGGAGACGACCCGGUCGUCCGCGU